RNAcentral lists this ribosomal RNA (439 nucleotides) under uncultured bacterium. Its description in RNAcentral is "partial 16S ribosomal RNA". It matches the Rfam family "Bacterial small subunit ribosomal RNA", at positions 339 to 795 of the family's 1533-position model. The record is from RNAcentral.
CUACGGGCGGCUGCAGUGGGGAAUAUUGCACAAUGGGGGAAACCCUGAUGCAGCAACGCCGCGUGGAGGAUGACACAUUUCGGUGCGUAAACUCCUUUUAUAUAGGAAGAUAAUGACGGUACUAUAUGAAUAAGCGCCGGCUAACUCCGUGCCAGCAGCCGCGGUAAUACGGAGGGCGCAAGCGUUACUCGGAAUCACUGGGCGUAAAGAGCGUGUAGGCGGAUAGAUAAGUCAGGAGUGAAAUCCUAUGGCUCAACCAUAGAACUGCUCUUGAAACUGUCAAUCUAGAGUAUGGGAGAGGUAGAUGGAAUUUCUGGUGUAGGGGUAAAAUCCGUAGAGAUCAGAAGGAAUACCGAUUGCGAAGGCGAUCUACUGGAACAUAACUGACGCUGAGACGCGAAAGCGUGGGGAGCAAACAGGAUUAGAUACCCCGGUAGUC